UAGGGAUGCUCACUUGAACUAUUAGG
RNAcentral lists this non-coding RNA (26 nucleotides) under Mus musculus (house mouse). The record is from RNAcentral. Lineage: Eukaryota; Metazoa; Chordata; Mammalia; Rodentia; Muridae.